This 30-nucleotide non-coding RNA is filed under the name Rattus norvegicus (Norway rat). The record is from RNAcentral. Lineage: Eukaryota; Metazoa; Chordata; Mammalia; Rodentia; Muridae.
AGUGAAGAUUAUAUAUGGUAGAGCUCAAGU